RNAcentral lists this long non-coding RNA (776 nucleotides) under Mus musculus (house mouse). Its description in RNAcentral is "long non-coding RNA chr11:17078595-17079371". The record is from RNAcentral. Lineage: Eukaryota; Metazoa; Chordata; Mammalia; Rodentia; Muridae.
UCCAGAAACUGACCUUUAGACAAACCAGCACAAGCCUUAACCAAGGCACACCACACCAUGGCUGUUUCCCAAUGACCUCCUACCCCCAGUUACUGUGAAAGUGUGACUCCCCUCUGAUGCAGUACCCAUGACAUCACAUGUAAUGUCACAUUCCUGAAAGCUCUCCUUUUGCUAUUGUAUGCUGGUGUUCCUGCAUCUAUCCUGUCUGCCAGUGUGACAGGAGCUCAGUGGAAGUAGCAGGUUUGUCCUACACCAAAGUUCCACAGAGAGACCGUGGUGUUUUGUUUUCAAGAUAAAUAAUUUCUCCCUUUUGUGUUCAUUGUUAAAUUAAGAUAACAAUGUGCUGGAGUCCCUCAUGUGUGACUUGUAACAUGUAGCAUGCAAUGUGUGUGAGCAUCCAAAGGUGACUUUGUGAAAAAAAAUGUAACAACAUGGUCUGCAGUAAAUGGGACCCAAAUGUUGUGCUUCCUAUUAACAGCUCGGCUGUUUCAGAGAAAGGAAGAUAAUGAAGGAAUAAAAAGAUGAAUAUAUAAGUAAGUAUUUAUAAUGUAUUAAUAGUAUUUCAAGUAGCAAGGCAUUUUGCUGUGGUCUAGUAGAAAUAGGGAAAAGACAUUGUUGUGGAAUUGGACCUGUGGCUCAUCCCUUUGGCAAGCUACCAUAGACUUUAAACAAACAUAAAGGUGGCACUAAUACAUACCCUUUAACUUGAACUUUGUACAACCGUGUAUGGAAUGGUAAUCAACUUUUGAUAUUUCUUAAUAAAGACAUUGGAAAUG